RNAcentral lists this ribosomal RNA (382 nucleotides) under uncultured eukaryote. Its description in RNAcentral is "SSU rRNA". It matches the Rfam family "Eukaryotic small subunit ribosomal RNA", at positions 587 to 972 of the family's 1831-position model. The record is from RNAcentral.
AGCUCUGUAAGCGUAUACCAAAGUUGUUGCAGUUAAAACGCUCGUAGUCGGAUUUUGGUGACUUCGGAUGUGUGCGCGUCGAGCGCGCACUUCGCAGGAGUUGCUUUUGUGGGUUAUAGCAAAGGAUGAGGCACUUUAAUGUGAACGUCCCGCGCUGCCACUCUUUACUGUGAAAAAAAUAAAGUGCUCAAAGCAGGCAAUUGUCGUGAAUAUAUUAGCAUGGAAUAAUAGAAUAGGACUUUGUUCUAUUUUGUUGGUUUGUUGGAUCAAAGUAAUGAUUAAGAGGGACAGUUGGGGGCAUUUGUAUUACGGCGCUAGAGGUGAAAUUCUUAGAUUGCCGUAAGACACACUGCUGCGAAAGCGUCUGCCAAGGAUGUUUUCA